This 497-nucleotide ribosomal RNA is filed under the name uncultured bacterium. Its description in RNAcentral is "partial 16S ribosomal RNA". It matches the Rfam family "Bacterial small subunit ribosomal RNA", at positions 28 to 507 of the family's 1533-position model. The record is from RNAcentral.
GAUGAACGCUGGCGGCGUGCCUAAUACAUGCAAGUCGAGCGAACAGACGAGGAGCUUGCUCCUUCGACGUUAGCGGCGGACGGGUGAGUAACACGUAGGUAACCUACCUAUAAGACUGGGAUAACUUCGGGAAACCGGAGCUAAUACCGGAUAAUAUUUCGAACCGCAUGGUUCGAUAGUGAAAGAUGGCUUUGCUAUCACUUAUCGAUGGACCUGCGCCGUAUUAGCUAGUUGGUAAGGUAACGGCUUACCAAGGCAACGAUACGUAGCCGACCUGAGAGGGUGAUCGGCCACACUGGAACUGAGACACGGUCCAGACUCCUACGGGAGGCAGCAGUAGGGAAUCUUCCGCAAUGGGCGAAAGCCUGACGGAGCAACGCCGCGUGAGUGAUGAAGGUCUUCGGAUCGUAAAACUCUGUUAUUCGGGAAGAACAAACGUGUAAGUAACUGUGCACGUCUUGACGGUACCUAAUCAGAAAGCCACGGCUAACUACGUG